Stegodyphus dumicola is the source of this 315-nucleotide long non-coding RNA. Lineage: Eukaryota; Metazoa; Arthropoda; Arachnida; Araneae; Eresidae. The record is from RefSeq and is a predicted model, not a curated record.
UACAGAGAAACAUAAUAAAUGCAGGGAAUAGUUGUAUUAAAUAUAGGGAAAAGGCUGUAAUAGAUUUCAAGUACUACAACUACUAAGUUUUGUAGCAACAGAAAGUAUAAUGAAUGAAUCAUAGAUGUAAACAAUUUCAGUUUAAUAGAACUAUGGCUGGAAUUAAAGUUUAGUUGCAUUGGCAUUUUCAGGAUCCGUUGGAAUGACACUGCUGGUUUUAGGCUGUGCAUUACCACAGUAUAAGUCAGAAAUUAUUGAUACAACUGCAUCUGUGUCAAAGGAGAAUCAUUGCCCGGAUGAUUUUUUUUACAAAGU